RNAcentral lists this ribosomal RNA (425 nucleotides) under uncultured bacterium. RNAcentral describes it as "bacterial SSU rRNA". It matches the Rfam family "Bacterial small subunit ribosomal RNA", at positions 356 to 773 of the family's 1533-position model. The record is from RNAcentral.
UGGGAAUCUUGGACAAUGGGGGAAACCCUGAUCCAGCCAUGCCGCGUGAGUGAAGAAGGCCCUCGGGUUGUAAAGCUCUUUUGUUGGGAAAGAAAUCCUGUUGGUUAAUACCUGGCAGGGAUGACGGUACCCAAAGAAUAAGCACCGGCUAACUUCGUGCCAGCAGCCGCGGUAAUACGAAGGGUGCAAGCGUUACUCGGAAUUACUGGGCGUAAAGCGUGCGUAGGUGGUUGUUUAAGUCUGUCGUGAAAGCCCUGGGCUCAACCUGGGAAUUGCGAUGGAUACUGGGCGACUAGAAUGUGGUAGAGGGUGGCGGAAUUCCCGGUGUAGCAGUGAAAUGCGUAGAGAUCGGGAGGAACAUCCGUGGCGAAGGCGGCCACCUGGACCAACAUUGACACUGAGGCACGAAAGCGUGGGGAGCAAAC